RNAcentral lists this ribosomal RNA (253 nucleotides) under uncultured bacterium. Its description in RNAcentral is "partial 16S ribosomal RNA". It matches the Rfam family "Bacterial small subunit ribosomal RNA", at positions 524 to 776 of the family's 1533-position model. The record is from RNAcentral.
GACGGAGGAUGCAAGUGUUAUCCGGAAUCACUGGGCGUAAAGCGUCUGUAGGUGGUUCAAUAAGUCAACUGUUAAAUCUUGAGGCUCAACUUCAAAAUCGCAGUCGAAACUAUUGGACUCGAGUAUAGUAGGGGUAAAGGGAAUUUCCAGUGGAGCGGUGAAAUGCGUAGAGAUUGGAAAGAACACCAAUGGCGAAAGCACUUUACUGGGCUAUCACUGACACUGAGAGACGAAAGCUAGGGUAGCAAAUGGG